RNAcentral lists this long non-coding RNA (492 nucleotides) under Zostera marina. RNAcentral describes it as "long non-coding RNA (ZMAR_LNC002596)". Lineage: Eukaryota; Viridiplantae; Streptophyta; Magnoliopsida; Alismatales; Zosteraceae. The record is from RNAcentral.
CACUAUUAUAUAUACACAAAUUACUAGUUAAUUACUUUAACUAAUUCUAAAACUUGUUGGACUUGUGGGCUGGACUUCUAUUUGAUCCGAGUCCUGGUCCAACUUGACAAUUGUGUAUUUUAAUGAAUCUGCAAAAAUACCCAAGAGUUAUUAGUAUUUACACAUAGGUAUUUUAUUUGAUUUGUGAUUUAUAUAAAAGUCCUUGGAUUAAUAUAAAACUAUAAUAUUAAAACAAUUGGAACUUUUAUACUCAAGACCUCUGUAAAAACAUUACAGUAGUAAUUUAGAACCCUUUUAUUAUUUGUAUUAUGCUUUAGGUCCAACUAACAAAUUAAUUGGAACUUUUGCAUAUAAAACCCCUGUUGGUUAAUACAAAACAGUUUAUUCUGUUUUGUAAAAACCUUAGGACUUUUUAUAUUUAACUUAGGUCCUAACUUAGUUUCUUAGGGUAAAUUUCUAUUUUACCCUAGAUUUCAGCUGUAUUUCUUAUAC